This is a small nuclear RNA of Cricetulus griseus (Chinese hamster), 111 nucleotides long. NCBI's taxonomy places the organism in Eukaryota, Metazoa, Chordata, Mammalia, Rodentia, Cricetidae. The record is from Ensembl.
AUUUUUGCGCUCACUUUGGCAACAAUACAUGCUAAGAUAGGAAUGAUAUAGAGACUAGCAUGGGUCAUGUGUGAGAAUGACAGGCAAAUUCUUGAAGCAUUCCUUUUCUUG